UACGUAGGGUGCAAGCGUUAUCCGGAAUUAUUGGGCGUAAAGAGCUCGUAGGCGGUUUGUCGCGUCUGCUGUGAAAACUGGAGGCUCAACCUCCAGCCUGCAGUGGGUACGGGCAAACUAGAGUGCGGUAGGGGAGAUUGGAAUUCCUGGUGUAGCGGUGGAAUGCGCAGAUAUCGGGAGGAACAUCAGUGGCGCAGGCGGCGCCCUGGCCUUAGCCUGACGCUCAGGGGCGAAAGCGUGGGGAGCGAACGGG
RNAcentral lists this ribosomal RNA (253 nucleotides) under uncultured bacterium. Its description in RNAcentral is "partial 16S ribosomal RNA". It matches the Rfam family "Bacterial small subunit ribosomal RNA", at positions 524 to 776 of the family's 1533-position model. The record is from RNAcentral.